GGCGCAGAGCCGUAAAAUGUCGUAAAGUCAGAUAUAAAACGUGACGCUUUUCUUUCUGUGUCCUUCUCAGCUUCAACCCGCCUGUAAGUGUUCGUGAAGAAGGCUGGCUUAAAAAUAGGAGAUUCUUAGGCAUCUCCAUGGUGUUUGAAGUGUGUAGUAACCAACAGAUGUAGUAUGGUAAGUGGUUUGGAUUGGUUUUUCGAAAGUUUCGGAUGACAUUAAUGGUCCUCCUGUGAACGGACUGGGCAAUCAGGCUCCAGAACACAAUGUGGGUGAAUAAUCCUGUGACUUAAUGCAUAAUUUGUACCUGAGGAAGCUUCUCCUAAUGGUGUGAUCUGAAGGAUGGCCACUAGAAGGCGCAACACCCCUUUUUGGUGAUUGGCGGUGUGUUAGAGGUCCCAUUUGACUAGAUUGAAGAAUUAAUGCUGGCAGCUGAUCGUACUUGCAGUACUGCAAGAUGAAAAGUUUGGCGUUGGAGUGAAGGGUUUCCCAGCCAGACUUUUAUUGGAAGUUGGUGCUGGUGAAGAGAUACUUCACAGGAAAUCUGAAAAGCUUUUGCUUUGGAGUGUUUUGUGGUGUAGUUUUCAAUAAAUUAAGUAUGAAAGA
Long non-coding RNA from Sinocyclocheilus rhinocerous, 606 nucleotides. RefSeq lists it as uncharacterized. Lineage: Eukaryota; Metazoa; Chordata; Actinopteri; Cypriniformes; Cyprinidae. The transcript has 8 exons. The record is from RefSeq and is a predicted model, not a curated record.